CUUAGUACGGCGAGUGAAGCGGUAAAAGCUCAAAUUUGAAAUCUGGUACUUUCAGUGCCCGAGUUGUAAUUUGUAGAAUUUGUCUUUGAUUAGGUCCUUGUCUAUGUUCCUUGGAACAGGACGUCAUAGAGGGUGAGAAUCCCGUUUGGCGAGGAUACCUUUUCUCUGUAAGACUUUUUCGAAGAGUCGAGUUGUUUGGGAAUGCAGCUCAAAGUGGGUGGUAAAUUCCAUCUAAAGCUAAAUAUUGGCGAGAGACCGAUAGCGAACAAGUACAGUGAUGGAAAGAUGAAAAGAACUUUGAAAAGAGAGUGAAAAAGUACGUGAAAUUGUUGAAAGGGAAGGGCAUUUGAUCAGACAUGGUGUUUUUUGCAUGCACUCGCCUCUCGUGGGCUUGGGCCUCUCAAAAAUUUCACUGGGCCAACAUCAAUUCUGGCAGUAGGAUAAAUCAUUAAGAAUGUAGCUACCUCGGUAGUGUUAUAGCUUAUUGGAAUACUGCUAGCUGGGAUUGAGGACUGCGCUUCGGCAAGGAUGUUGGCAUAAUGGUUAAAUGCCGCCCGUCUUG
RNAcentral lists this ribosomal RNA (562 nucleotides) under Hanseniaspora opuntiae. RNAcentral's name for it is "eukaryotic LSU rRNA". It matches the Rfam family "Eukaryotic large subunit ribosomal RNA", at positions 79 to 656 of the family's 3401-position model. The record is from RNAcentral. Lineage: Eukaryota; Fungi; Ascomycota; Saccharomycetes; Saccharomycodales; Saccharomycodaceae.